This 472-nucleotide ribosomal RNA is filed under the name uncultured bacterium. RNAcentral describes it as "bacterial SSU rRNA". It matches the Rfam family "Bacterial small subunit ribosomal RNA", at positions 37 to 507 of the family's 1533-position model. The record is from RNAcentral.
UGGCGGCAUGCCUUACACAUGCAAGUCGAACGGCAGCGGACCUUCGGGUGCCGGCGAGUGGCGAACGGGUGAGUAAUAUAUCGGAACGUACCUUUCAGUGGGGAUAACGUAGCGAAAGUUACGCUAAUACCGCAUAUUCUGUGAGCAGGGAAGCAGGGGAUCGCAAGACCUUGCGCUGAUUGAGCGGCCGAUAUCAGAUUAGCUAGUUGGUGAGGUAAAGGCUCACCAAGGCGACGAUCUGUAGCGGGUCUGAGAGGAUGAUCCGCCACACUGGAACUGAGACACGGUCCAGACUCCUACGGGAGGCAGCAGUGGGGAAUUUUGGACAAUGGGCGCAAGCCUGAUCCAGCCAUGCCGCGUGGGUGAAGAAGGCCUUCGGGUUGUAAAGCUCUUUCGGCCGGGAAGAAAUCGCACAGGUUAAUACCCUGUGUGGAUGACGGUACCGGAAUAAGAAGCACCGGCUAACUACGUG